Molecule: long non-coding RNA, 1345 nt
Filed under: Astyanax mexicanus (Mexican tetra)
Lineage: Eukaryota; Metazoa; Chordata; Actinopteri; Characiformes; Acestrorhamphidae
Description: lncRNA (ENSAMXG00005011715.1)
Source: RNAcentral
CGUUGUGGAGGCGGUGGAGUUAAGGUUAACCGGAAGAUGCACGACCAUACUUUCACUUUCAGUCUCAGAGCUGCAGCAUCUUCUCCACUUGGUACAGAUCGGAUUAAUCUGAUUCACAGUUUAUCCCGCAGUCAACAAUUCUCCAGUGCUAAAAACAAACCUACCAAUCAAUCAGUCCCCCUCACCAGCAGCAGGAUGGCCUUCCAAGUCUUAGUGCAUUUAGACAAAAAAACGAUCACGGUCACAGUGGCAGAAACCGAGGAACAGGCACUGAAGACUACCAUCAGAGAGUUAAAGGAGUUAAUUCUACAGACAGUGAAGGAAGAAAUCAGUAUUGACAAGUUCAGACUGAUCUUUGGGACUCAGCAGUUAGAAGAUAAUCGUACGCUGCAAGAUUAUAACAUAAUGCACGAUUCUGUAAUCAUGACGAUCUUCAUUAUAAAAGGAGGAGGUCACACCAUGGUUCCGGAGGAGCUUAAUUUCGUUACAAUUUUGUGGAAAAAUAAAUUUCAAAAGUGUAUUUGCCUUUUUAUUUUUUUUAUUUUUGACUGGAUGUACCUCCCAUACCUGAUAAGCUUACUGCCAUUUAGCCCUACCCAAUUAGUAUACAGACAGUUAGGACCCACCCAUUCAGCAUACAGCAGUUUAGCUCCACCCAUUCAGCCUACAAUAGUUUAGCUCCAUCCAUUCCACCUACAAUAGUUUAGCUCCACCCAUUCAGCCUACAGCUAUUUAGCCCCACCCAUUCAGCCUACAGCAGAUUAGCUUCACCCAUUCAGCCUACAGCAAAUUAGACCCACCCGUUCAGCCUACAGACGUUUUGCUUCACCCAUUCAGCCUACUGCAUCUUAGCACCACCCCUUCAGCCUUCAGUCGUUUAGUCCCACCCAUUCAGCCUACAGCAGAUUAGCUUCACCCAUUCAGUCUACAGCAAAUUAGCACCACCCAUUCAGCCUACAACAGUUUAGACCUACCUGCCUAUUCAGCCUACAGCCAUUUAGCCCCACCUAUUCAGCCUACAGCAGUUUAGCUCCACCCAUUUAGCCUACAACAGUUUAGACCCACCCAUUCAGCCUACAGCAAAUUAGACCCACCCAUUCAGCCUAUAGCAGGUUAGCCCCACCCAUUCAGCCUAUAGCAGGUUAGACCCACCCAUUUAGCCUACAGUUGUUGAGCCCUGCACUUAGUUUUGUGGUAGAAUGUAACUUUUUUUGUUACAUUAUUAUUAUUUUAUCAGUAAGUUACUGUUCAAGAAAUAGACAAAAGUUUAUAGAUUUUCUGUUUUUAGUGAAUGUGUGAAACUGUAUAUUAUAUUUUUACAAAAUAAAAGUUUUAUUUUGUUGCA